AUUGAACGCUGGCGGCAUGCCUUACACAUGCAAGUCGAACGGCAGCGGACCUUCGGGUGCCGGCGAGUGGCGAACGGGUGAGUAAUAUAUCGGAACGUACCUUUCAGUGGGGGAUAACGUAGCGAAAGUUACGCUAAUACCGCAUAUUCUGUGAGCAGGAAGGCAGGGGAUCGCAAGACCUUGCGCUGAUUGAGCGGCCGAUAUCAGAUUAGCUAGUUGGUGAGGUAAAGGCUCACCAAGGCGACGAUCUGUAGCGGGUCUGAGAGGAUGAUCCGCCACACUGGAACUGAGACACGGUCCAGACUCCUACGGGAGGCAGCAGUGGGGAAUUUUGGACAAUGGGCGCAAGCCUGAUCCAGCCAUGCCGCGUGAGUGAAGAAGGCC
This 384-nucleotide ribosomal RNA is filed under the name uncultured bacterium. Its description in RNAcentral is "bacterial SSU rRNA". It matches the Rfam family "Bacterial small subunit ribosomal RNA", at positions 30 to 416 of the family's 1533-position model. The record is from RNAcentral.